This 253-nucleotide ribosomal RNA is filed under the name uncultured bacterium. Its description in RNAcentral is "partial 16S ribosomal RNA". It matches the Rfam family "Bacterial small subunit ribosomal RNA", at positions 524 to 776 of the family's 1533-position model. The record is from RNAcentral.
UACAGAGGGUGCAAGCGUUAAUCGGAAUUACUGGGCGUAAAGCGCACGUAGGUGGACUUUUAAGUCGAUUGUGAAAUCCCUGGGCUUAACCUGGGAACUGCAUUCGAUACUGGAAGUCUAGAGUAUGGUAGAGGAAAGUAGAAUUCCCGGUGUAGCGGUGAAAUGCGUAGAUAUCGGGAGGAAUACCAGUGGCGGAAGCGGCUUUCUGGACUAAUACUGACACUGAGGUGCGAAAGCGUGGGUAGCAAACAGG